UACGUAGGCAGCAAGCGUUGUUCGGAGUUACUGGGCGUAAAGGGUGCGUAGGCGGUUGUUUAAGUUUGGUGUGAAAUCUCCCGGCUCAACCGGGAGGGUGCGCCGAAUACUGAACGGCUAGAGUGCGGGAGAGGAGAGUGGAAUUCCUGGUGUAGCGGUGAAAUGCGUAGAUAUCAGGAGGAAUACCGAUGGCGAAGGCAGGUCUCUGGGCUGACACUGACGCCCAUGCACGAAAGCGUGGGGAGCAAACAGG
RNAcentral lists this ribosomal RNA (253 nucleotides) under uncultured bacterium. Its description in RNAcentral is "partial 16S ribosomal RNA". It matches the Rfam family "Bacterial small subunit ribosomal RNA", at positions 524 to 776 of the family's 1533-position model. The record is from RNAcentral.